UACGUAGGUGGCUAGCGUUGUCCGGAUUUACUGGGCGUAAAGGGAGCGUAUGCGGACUUUUAAGUGAGAUGUGAAAUACCCGGGCUCAACUUGGGUGCUGCAUUUCAAACUGGAAGUCUAGAGUGCAGUAGAGGAGAAUGGAAUUCCUAGUGUAGCGGUGAAAUGCGUAGAGAUUAGGAAGAACACCAGUGGCGAAGGCGAUUCUCUGGACUGUAACUGACGCUGAGGCUCGAAAGCGUGGGGAGCAAACAGGAUUAGAUA
This 261-nucleotide ribosomal RNA is filed under the name uncultured prokaryote. Its description in RNAcentral is "partial 16S ribosomal RNA". It matches the Rfam family "Bacterial small subunit ribosomal RNA", at positions 524 to 784 of the family's 1533-position model. The record is from RNAcentral.